UAUAUUUUACUUAAAGGGCGUUCAUCAAAGACAAUAUAAAAGGGUCAAAAAAAUUAAACUAGAAAUAAACUCACUUUCAAUAAACAUUCAAUAAAAUUGGAACAUGAUAAUACUUCCUCAUCAGCCUCUUAUUUUACCAUGAUACUCUUCUUGCUACUAAGAAAAAAUUCACCAAAGAGUCUCAGGUAACAAUAGAAUAAUUAAAAUUGUCUAUAAUCCUAAUUUAAAAUGAACUCUAACUACUAAAGAAACAAAUCAAAGAAAUUAAAAUUGUGCAUUAUGUCUAAGGACAUUUAGGACCUCCUUCCAAUUGAUUCCCUCCGUUAUGAGUUGGGCUAAGUAAGGAGUGUUGUGGAGUAUCACUAUUGCUUCCUGGUCAUUGAUUGGCAUUGUGAAAGAGAUUGCAUGUCCCAUUAGACCUAACUCCAUCCACGAGGCAUGUUGGUAGUCCUGUGCUUGUAGAGGUUGGGCAUAGACAAUCUGAGGGUUCUCUAGUGGGUGUAAGGGUGGAAGGUUUUCCAUUGUUAGUGGUAUGUGUUGUAGAAGGAUUUGAAUUAGACGGUUUCUUCUUUUUAGGGUUGAUGGAAGUCUUGGCAUCUUUAAUGGGGGGGGGGGGGGUAGAAUAUUUAAUAAGCUUGUGGCAGGCAUGGGAUUGAUGCUACUUGAGGAGUGGGAGGGAUUGAGCGAGAGGGUAAUGAUUGAGCUUUCUAAGUACAUGGCUUUUGGUUGCUCAAUGUCUAGUUUUAUAGGAAGAGCCUUAGCAUCCUUUUCGUCUUCUAAGGUAAUGGACAUUUGGUUGCUUUUGUUUUCCUUGGUUGCCAUUUGGCUAACAUGCGCUAGAGGGGGGAUAUUGCCAUAUCUAGGGAGUAGAUUUUGUUCAUUCCCUUCGGUUAACUUAAGAUUAUGGCUAGAUUUUUGUUUAAGAGUGUUAAUAAGUAUAGUAGGGUUAUAAUUAUUAGAAGGGUUAGUUUUAUCUGUUUGGGUGUCAUUUUGCAUGGCACCGUUUUUAUCUAUUUUGUUUACCUUAGUAAAGGCCACGUUAGAGUCCAGCAUGUUAAUAUCUUUGUUUUGAGUGGCCAAGUGUUCACUUUUAUGGCUAUUAGUGGUUUUUAAUAGGUUAUUAAAAUUAUCAUUAGUGGUUUCUUGUAAAACCGUUUGCUUAGUGUUUAGGAGAGAAAAAUGGUUUUUAAUAGGAAUAGUGGUUUGUUCCUUAACUUUAUUGGUCAGAUUAUUAGCAUUUGCAGGUGGUAUGGAGUUGAUGGGAUCUUUAGACUUGUAUUGUAAUAUUUGGCUAUCCAAAUACUUAUCUGUAUUGGCAUUAAACAGCUUGACAGAGAUACCUGGGCCAUUGGAGUUUUUGGUUGGAUUAUUGAUGAAAUGAGAAGUAUUUUUUACUCCUUACUUUCUUCCUUUAUGGAAGGAGAGUGUUUUCCAUUCUGCUUCUAGAUCUUCUAUUAUUGUAGUAGGUUAUUGUUCCUUUAUUGGAUGUUUAAUAUCCUUGCUUGUUUUAUGUAUAUAACCACACUGUCCCUGUGUGUGUCCAAAUCUGUCACACUUUUUACAAAGGAAAUUUUCACCCUCAUAAUGAAUAUAUUGUUUAUGGUGGCCAACAUAUAGGAAAGGUUGAACUGGAAUUUCUAGAGGGAUUUCCACACAAAUUCUUGCAUAGCGACCCCUUAGUGUUGUUGAUGUACAAAUAUCAAUUUUAAGUAGAAGUCCUAUUGCAUUUCCAAUCUUCUCAAGGAUCUUGCCAUCAUAAAAUUCUGUUGGCAAUUGAGGGAGCCUAAUUCAUAUUGCCGAGGUAGUUAACUUUUCAUUUGUAGCCACAAAAUUUGGUUUCCAUCUUGAAAUGGAUAGAAAGUGGUCAUUGCUGAACCAUAGUCCUUGAUGGAUAGCUUUAUCCAUAUUUUCCUUUUUUUUGAAUUUUAUUAUAUAGUAAUCCUAUCCAAGAUCAAUUAAUGAGAAUUCUUCUGUUGGCUUCCAUAACUCUUGGAUCUUUUUCUUUAAAUAAUGGUGUAGCAUGCAUUUCCCCACCAGCUUAAUUAUGAUAGAGCAUUUCCAUGGCUCAUAAAUUCGUUGUCUAUCUUCUUCGGUUAGAGAUAUUCUUUUAAUGCCUCUUACAUUGAAGUUUGAUGCAUGAUCGAACUCUUCCUCUUCUAGGGAGGUUGUUGUUAGGUCUGUGUCAGCCUGGUCCAGAUUUGGGGUGGAAGUCAUUUGGCUAGAGGCAGUUAACAUAUCCUUGAAUGAGGAUUUGUUCUUCCAUUCAUUUUGAGUGGGUUUCUCAUGAACAAUAUCUAGGGGUUUGGAUGGAAUAUUGGUUUCAGCUUCAUAGGGUUGAGGAUUCAUGGUAGGGAACUUGAGAGUUGUUCAAUUAGAGUAGUGUUACUUUCGGUCUCUUUAGCCGCGUCACAUCAAAAUUAUUUAAUGGGUCCUUGUUGUAUAUAUAUAUACACACACACAAUUUUUGCCGAGGCUAAUGAGUUCCGAUGACCCUCCUACUCCUCAUGUAGUCGGAAGUAUAAUUCUUUAUAUUUUGCGAUAUAUAUAUAUAUAUAUAUUUAAUUGGGCGUUCUUGAAAGACGACAUAUAAAGAGGGAAAAGGAACUAAGUUAGAAAAAAACUGAUCACUUGCAAUAAAAAUUCAAUAAAACUAGAACAUGUUAAUGCUUCUUCAUCAGUCUCUUAUUUUACCAUAAUACUCUUUUUGCUACUAAUAAAAAAUUCACCAAAGAGUCUUAGGGAACAAUAGAAUAAUUAAAAUUGUAUAUAAUCCUAAUUAAGAAUUAACUCUAACUACUAUAGAAGAUUGUGCAAUAUGACUAAGGACAUUUGGGACCUCCUUCCUUAGUCUUCCAAUUGUGGUAACAAAGACAUGUUUCUUUGUUGCUAUAAGUUCCAGGAGGCACACACAAGCACUUUGCACAACAUUUUUUACACAAAAAUAAGUAUGGCUUUUUGUGUGAAUAACGCUUUCUUGCAUGGUGAAUUGAGAAGUUUAUAUGAAGUUCCCAGCAGGGGUUGAACCCCAUUGAUUAAGGAAAUCUAUGUAUGGGCUUCGUCAAGCAUCCAGACAAUGGUACGCAUGACUUACAGCAGUCCUGAAUUUCAAGGAAUUUUCUCAUUCGUUGAAUGAUUAUUCUUUAUUUUUUAAAAGGUCGGAAUCCUCUAUAUCUAUUGUGGUUGUGUAUGUAGACGACAUUCUAUUGACAGGGAAUGACAUGGAUGAAUUACAUGAAUUAAAGAUGUUUCUAGAUUAAGAAUUCAAAAUAAAAGAUCUCGGGGACUUACAUUUCUUCCUUGGUAUGGAAGUUCUUCGUGAGGCAACCGGAUUGAUUCUUUGUCAGAGGAAAUUUACUCCAGGUUUGCUAGAGGAAUUUGAUUCUCUGCAUUGCUCCCCUGUUUCCUCUCAUCUUGAUCCCACUGUCAAAUUGCUUGCCAAAACAGGGGAAUCCCUUCUUUCUCCAACUUUGUACAAGCAUCUUUCGGGUAAAUUGAACUAUUUAACUCAUACUUGACCAGAUCUUUGUUUUGCAGUACAUUAUUUGAGUCAAUGCAGGAUCCAAGAAAGCCCCAUUUGCAUGUUGCUCUUCAUAUCCUACGGUAUAUGUUGAAAGACCUAGGUUUGGGGAUUUUCAUGACAGCCUCCCCGUCAUUUCAACUCAUCGCUUUUUGCAACUUAGAUUGGGGAACUUGUACAAAAACAAGGAAAUCAAUGAGUGGUUUCUUCAUUUCAUUUAGAGGGUCUCCAAUUUCAUGGAAAUCGAAGAAGCAGACUUCCAUUUCUCUCAGCUCAGCAGAAGUGGAAUACCGUUCUAUGCGGCGUGUAAUAGCAGAAUUGACAUGGUUAGUACGCCUCUUUAAAGAUCUGUCUAUCCCCAUUUCUUUGCCAAUACCACUCCAUUCCGACAGUCAAGCAGCGAUUCAUAUCACUAAAAAUCCCGUCUUUCAUGAACGAACUAAACACAUAGAAAUUGAUUGUCAUUUCGUGAGACAACAAUUUCUUGCUGGCUUGAUUUCUCUUUCAUUUGUUCGAUCUUCUUCUCAGCUGGUAGAUUUGUUCACUAAACCGUUAACUGGACCUUCUCACCACAAUUUAUUGGGCAAGUUGGGUGUUCUUUCAUCCUCCUCCAACUUGAAAAGGGGUGUUGGAGAUGGUGGUUCUAAUGGUGGUAGUGGUAUUUCUCUCGAAGGUUCCACUGUGGUUCAAGGUGGUUAGUUCUCGUAUGUUUAUCUGAUGUGUUUGUUUGGUCUCAUUAUUAGAUGUGUUUAUCAGACAUAUAUCAAGUACAAAUAUUGGGCUAAAACUUCAACUGACUACUUGGGCUCAAAGCUUCAGAUAUACUUGUUGGGCUCUACAUGUUUUGGGCCUGUUUAGAAGAAUUGUAUUGAGUAGGGGUUUUUUAUUAGCUGUAAAUAUUGAUUCCAUGUUUCUUAGUUUGUUAUAAGAGUGCAAAUAGAAUAGGGACAAGUGGAUAGGUUAGUUAUACAUAGAUUCCAUUCUUUCUUGUUUAUAUAGGGCACUGUACAAAUUACAUGAAUCCAAUAUACACAAAAAACUUUUUCUACAAGUUUUUCUUUCAAUUCUGUGAGUUUCUACCACUAGUCCUAACAUCAGUUACUUAUUAUUCGGAAACAAUUUAAUUCUAAAUUUCUCACUUUAUUCUUAAUAACUUUAAAUUUCUUAUUUUAAAAAUAAAGUAUAAUUUUUUUUUUUUGCAAUCUAUUUAUAUAUUUUACUUAAAAGGCAUUCGUCAAAGACAAAAUAAAAAGGAGAAAAAAAUUUAAGCUAGAAAUAAACUCACUUUCAAUAAACAUUCAAUAAAUUGGAACAUGAUAAUACUUCUUCAUCAGUCUCUUAUUUUACCAUAAUACUCUAUUUGCUACUAAGAAAAAAUUCACCAAAGAGUCUUAGGUAACAAUAGAAUAAUUAAAAUUGUAUAUAAUCCUAAUUAAGAAUUAACUCUAACUACUAUAGAAGAUUGUGCAAUAUGACUAAGGACAUUUGGGACCUCCUUCCUUAGUCUUCCA
Molecule: long non-coding RNA, 5028 nt
Filed under: Nicotiana tabacum (common tobacco)
Lineage: Eukaryota; Viridiplantae; Streptophyta; Magnoliopsida; Solanales; Solanaceae
Description: long non-coding RNA (NTAB_LNC018664)
Source: RNAcentral